GGGAGAAGCGGAUUUGUUCCAAUUUCUCUCAGUGAUCCCGCCUCCUGCAAGCGGACUUUUUACUGCCGCAGAGACAGAAGCAAGUCGGUGAGUGAAGCAUUUGUCAAUUAUUAUGAAGUAUUGGACGGAAAACAUGUUAAAAACUUAUAAUUCCGUCUGACAUUAGUCAUACUGAGCUAACCGAGGUGUUUGUAUGUUGUGAAAUAGUUGAGUGACGGAUGACACAGCGUAAAGUUAGAGCAUUAUUAGUUCUUACAAUGUCAGACUUUAAUUUUACUGUAAGGAAUUUAUUAUAUAAACGUUUUUAUAAAUUGCUUUGUUUUAGCCAGCUAACGUUCAUGCUGUUAAAACCAUUUUAAACACUGUACUGCAGGCUGAUAGCAUGCUAACACACCCACCGCUGUCGGCUGGUCGGUGUGUUUCAUACUGCUUAUGUGAUUAACAGUCCAGCGGAGCUGAAGGCAGCCGGCAUGUUUUAUGGGGAAACUAGCAGCUGGUCGAGUGGCUGGUGGAUUCCUUAAGCCUUUCUGUUCCACCAGGAGAGAAAGUGCAGCUCCUCACCUUAUGAAUAUUCAAUUAGCCAUGCUGCCAGGAAGGUAAACAGAGGCGGAGCCUGCCAUAGGCAACAAGCGGAGAGAAACAACAGUCAAAAGGUCUCUUUUAUUUACAGUUUUUACAAUGUACAAAACAUCUACUAAGACUCCACACUCUUCUGCAGUAAUUCUGCCUCGGUUAAACUGUUUUAAUACCCCCUGAAGCGCUUCUCCAGCUUUGCCACAGCCGGGGAUCGAACCGCUGACCGCUGAGCCCCCUCCUCUUUUUACUCAGUCAAUGAACUGUCGCCUCAACUCGGCCAAUGGCCUUCUGCGGAGAUGUCCCGCCCCUUCCAAUCACCGCACAGUAUCUGUUCCCGUUAGGCAGAACACACAGCCAAUCCGAUGGCUCAAUUUGUUCCAAUUGCGAGAAUCAAUGUUUUUGGCAUCCAAUGGGAGAAGCGGAUUUGUUCCAAUUUCUCUCAGUGAUCCCGCCUCCUGCAAGCGGACUUUUUACUGCCGCAGAGACAGAAGCAAGUCGUCCAGCGGAGCUGAAGGCAGCCGGCAUGUUUUAUGGGGAAACUAGCAGCUGGUCGAGUGGCUGGUGGAUUCCUUAAGCCUUCCUGUUCCACCAGGAGAGAAAGUGCAGCUCCUCACCGUAUGAAUAUUCAAUUAGCCAUGCUGCCAGGAAGGUAAACAGAGGCGGAGCCUGCCAUAGGCAACAAGCGGAGAGAAGCAACAGUCAAAAGGUCGCUUUUAUUUACAGUUUUUACAAUGUACAAAACAUCUACUAAGACUCCACACUCUUCUGCAGUAAUUCUGUCUCGGUUAAACUGCUUUACAACCCCUGAAGCGCUUCUCCAGCUUUGCCACAGCCGGGGAUCGAACCGCUGACCGCUGAGCCCCCUCCUCUUUUUACUCAGUCAAUGAACUGUCGCCUCAACUCGGCCAAUGGCCUUCUCGGAGAUGUCCCGCCCCUUCCAAUCGCCGCACAGUAUUUGUUCCCUUUAGGCAGAACACACAGCCAAUCAGAUGGCUGAAUUUGUUCCAAUUGCGAGAAUCAAUGUUUUUCGCAUCCAAUGGGAGAAGCGGAUUUGUUCCAAUUUCUCUCAGUGAUCCCGCCUCCUGCAAGCGGACUUUUUACUGCCGCAGAGACAGAAGCAAGUCGUGAGUGAUGGAUGACACAGCGUAAAGUUAGAGCCGGACCAGACUCCACUCAAGUGGAGACAACAUAAAAGGAAGUGGUGCUGCCAGUGUUCCUCCCUUUUUUCCUCAAUCAUAACAUUCUGUCAUUUGGUUAUUUUAAGUGUUACGAUUAGUCAAGCCGGGAAACAGGGAAUGCCAGGGAACAGGACCCAAAUACUUACUAUUUAUUAAAAAAAAAAAAAAAAAAAAAAAAAAAAAAAGGCUUACACUGAAUUGGCGGGCAAAGCAACUCUCAGUUGGUAAGCAGUCCAAAACAGAAACACAAGUCCCAUAGUGAGCAGGCAAAAUCUAAAAUCCAAAAUCUGCAGACAAAAUCCACAAGGUCCACAAGAUUCAAGGCCAAGCGGAAGAUCUCAGGCUGACGACCCAGGGGCAGGACAGAAACGGGGCAGCGAACCUCAGGACGGUCCGGGGGCAGGACAGAUAAAGGGCUGGGAGCCUCAGGCGGAUGGCUCGAGGACUGAAAAGAAGAGCAGAGCAAGUCAGGGGGGCGCCCAGGAGGCAGGGCUGAAGGGCUGAGCAGGUCUCGGUGAUGACCAGAUGUACGAAGCAACUCAGGAGGUCGGCGACAAAGGCAAAAUCCCUCCGGAGGCCGGACUGGAGACCGGCGGCGAAGGCAGAACCUCUCCGGAGGCCGGCGAUGAAGGCGGAACCCUUCCAGAGGAAGGAUGUGGCUGCUGCGACCCAACCUGAGGCAGGAUGCUUGACAGAUGUACAAUGACGAUCUGACACAGAACAAAGGAAGAACACAGACUAAAUACACUCAGUGUCAGAUCGUCGUUGUACCAUGUGCCCUGCGUUUGGCCCCAGUUCUGCAUUUUUCCUAUGCCUCUGUGUCCUCUGUGGAUUUACCUUUAUUGAACUUCUCAAGGAUUAGUCUUUGUUGGAUGUUUUACCUGAACUUCUUAGCCGCCCUCAGUUGUUUUUGUCUUCCUUCAUAAGAAACUUGCGCUCCAGAGUCGACCCUCGACAAAAUAUCUGGCAUUCUUAUGAGCGAUGGAGGAAAUCUAUGUGAAUGUUGAAUAUGACAAAUCUGACUCAAAAAUGUCACAGAAUCAGACAGGUCCCAGGAGCCCAGAGAGCAGGUUUCAUGGAGCUGUUGUUCUCUUUCUGGGGCUGCUGAAUGUUUUCCUGCUGGCUUUGCUCAUCUGCCUCGGUGUCCUCUACCAUAACUCAAUACGUGGCUCAGCUGCAGAUUUCUCCACUAUCAAAGCCAACCUGACUGAGCGUCUCCAGGCCAGUGAUAACAGGUCUUCUUCCCUGACUGAAGCAAGAGACCUGCUGAAUGCCAGCCUCGUUGAAAUGGCUAAAGAGUUGAAAAAGCUUCAGAAUUUGUCCAAACAGGGAGUACCUGCAUGUGGUAUUUAGAUUUACUUGCUGUUUCUUUAAACAUUUCUUACUCAGAAAUUCCAUGAUAAAAUCACCCUGCAUUGUGUUAUGGUAUUUUUAGUAUUUACUCUAUGAUUUAGUAGCCAGUUUCAGUCCAAAACUAGAAAUUUUAUUAAUGAAAUGUGGAUAAAACAAAAGUGGUCUCUAUCUCUGCAUGUUACUGCAUUGUGGCAGUAAAUCUUUCUCUCUUCACAGAUGACAAAUUCUAGUUUCAUACUGAAUGCUAAACUGCGGACACAACAGCUAACUAUUCUCUGUUGGCUGCACAAGAGUUACACUGCAUGAGAUGAUCACUAGUAGAUGAGACCAUUUAUAUGGUUCAUUUUUUAAACUUUCGUCUUGUUCUUGUGAAAAAUGUAAUAAUUACAAUCAUAAUCAAUCAAGCAGGUCAAAAGUUUGAAAAAACAAGCAGAAAAAUCACAAUUUGGAGUCAAGUCUCAAAGUAUCCACCAAGGUUACACCAACCAAAUGAGCAGCAUUAAAGGGUCAUUCAUUGAAGAAGUUGACAUACAGACCUAACUUCACAAAUACAUUAACAUGAGUCUUGUUGAUCUGUAGUUUCUCUUGAUAUAUCUUGCAGAGAAAACCUGUCCUGCAGGAUGGACGAUGUUCAGUUAUGCCUGUUAUUUCCUCUCUGAUGAGUCUGGUUCCUGGGAUAAAGGCAGAGAGUACUGCAGAGGCAAAGGAGCAGAUCUGGUAGUGAUAACCAGCACUGAAGAGCAGCGUUUUCUCUUGGGGUUAACCAAGAAACCUUCGUGGAUUGGUUUGAACGACAGAGAUGUGGAGGGGACCUGGAAAUGGAUAGAUGGAACUCCACUGAAUCUGACGUACUGGCACAACAAUCAGCCUGAUAAUGGUGGCGGGAGCCAAAAGUGGGGUGAAGAGGACUGUGCACAUAUCAGAACGGAGUGGAGCAAUCAUUGGAAUGAUUUAUCAUGUAAUGCUGCUCUGCAAUGGAUCUGUGAAAAAAUUGCGUAACACUGUUACAUAUAAAAGAUUUGCGGAUCCUUUUACAAUGUAAGCUAUGAUUACGCAAAGCUUUAGUAAUAAGUGUUCAUGUAUGUUUGUAAAAUGUAUGUAUGCGAUUGUGCUGAAGACUGUGCUGUACAAAUUUAAACACCUCAAAAUUGCAGCUGUAGCUAAAUAGAAAAAUAAAGUAGAACAU
Molecule: RNA transcript, 4293 nt
Organism: Siniperca chuatsi (mandarin fish)
Lineage: Eukaryota; Metazoa; Chordata; Actinopteri; Centrarchiformes; Sinipercidae
Gene name: CD209 antigen-like protein E
Exons: 9
Source: RefSeq, a predicted model, not a curated record